Mesocricetus auratus (golden hamster) is the source of this 70-nucleotide non-coding RNA. Lineage: Eukaryota; Metazoa; Chordata; Mammalia; Rodentia; Cricetidae. The record is from Rfam.
GGAGAGAUGGCUCAGCGGUUAAGAGCACUGGCUGCUCUUCCAGAGGACCUGGGUUCAAAUCCCAGCACCC